RNAcentral lists this long non-coding RNA (347 nucleotides) under Brassica napus (rape). Its description in RNAcentral is "long non-coding RNA (BNAP_LNC001898)". Lineage: Eukaryota; Viridiplantae; Streptophyta; Magnoliopsida; Brassicales; Brassicaceae. The record is from RNAcentral.
CUCUCCUGCUUUCGGUUAUCUCCGGUUAUUGCUUGUCUCUCUCUUUCGUGUUUGGUUAUCUCUGGUUCCAAACCAAUAGAUGAUAUUUAUACUGCCUUGACGUGCGGCUUUGGAUAAGGUUCGGUCUGUAUUUCUCUUAUUUUAAGUAUUUUUUUAUUAAUAUAAAAUUUGGUUAAUGGUUUUAUAAUCGCUCCCAAUCUGUUGGUACCGGUGGUUUUCGUUGGCAGGUGGACACGGUCGGUUUUACUUUUCUUUUUCUUCCAAUGGAAAUGUUUUUAAAAUCAAUCAGUGUUUAUCGUCGUUAAUAAAACCAUAUUAAAAAAUAAAUCAGGGAUUAUCUAGAUAAA